CAAUAGCGUAUAUUAAAGUUGUUGCAGUUAAAAAGCUCGUAGUUGGAUUUCUGGUGGGAGCGAUCGGUCUGGCGCUUAGCGCGAGUACUUGCAUCGUCUCCGGCCAUCCUUGGGGAAAGUCUGUCUGGCAUUAAGUUGUCGGGCAGAGGAUCCUCAUCGUUUACUGUGAAAAAAUUAGAGUGUUCAAAGCAGGCUUAUGCCGUUGAAUAUAUUAGCAUGGAAUAAUAAGAUAGGACUUUGGUACUAUUUUGUUGGUUUGCGCACCAAAGUAAUGAUUAAUAGUGACAGUUGGGGGUAUUCGUAUUCCGUUGUCAGAGGUGAAAUUCUUGGAUUUACGGAAGACGAACUACUGCGAAAGCAUUUACCAAGGAUGUUUUCAUUAA
This 383-nucleotide ribosomal RNA is filed under the name uncultured eukaryote. Its description in RNAcentral is "partial 18S ribosomal RNA". It matches the Rfam family "Eukaryotic small subunit ribosomal RNA", at positions 592 to 976 of the family's 1831-position model. The record is from RNAcentral.